UCACAUUACAGUUUGAGAUACAAUGCCCUAUUGUUUUUCUAAUAAUGAUAGGGCAUUGUAUCUCAAACUGUAAUGUAG
This is a non-coding RNA of Podarcis lilfordi (Lilford's wall lizard), 78 nucleotides long. NCBI's taxonomy places the organism in Eukaryota, Metazoa, Chordata, Lepidosauria, Squamata, Lacertidae. The record is from the annotation of a GenBank genome assembly.